GCGGGACUUCCGGGAGGCGCGCUCGACCUGUGUCGAUCAGACGUCGCUACCUCACGGGGGAGGUCUUGAACUGUCCUGACGGGACGGGAGCCGCGAUCACAACCAUGGCCACGGCUGCGGCUAUGGCUCCGGCCCCGGCCAUCCCCACGACUUUUGGACAGGCGGUGAUCGGGCCUCCGGGCUCGGGGAAGACCACGUACUGCCUGGGCAUGAGCACUUUCCUGGCCGGGCUGGGCCGGCGAGUAGCCGUGGUCAACCUAGACCCGGCGAACGAGGGCACGCCGUACGCAUGCGCCGUGGACAUCGGCGAACUGGUGACGCUCCCCGACGUGAUGGAGGCGCUCAAGCUGGGGCCCAACGGCGGCCUCGUGUACUGCAUGGAGUACCUGGAGGCCAACCUGGACUGGCUGCACGACCGCUUGGCGCCGUUCCGCGGCCACUACCUGCUCUUCGACUGCCCGGGUCAGGUGGAGCUGUGCACACACCACGGCGCCUUGCGCAGCGUCUUCGCGCAGCUGGCCCAAUGGGGCUUCCGGCUGACUGCUGCCCACCUAGUGGAUUCUCACUACUGUACAGAUCCAGCCAAAUUCAUCUCUGUGCUGUGCACCUCCCUGUCCACCAUGCUGCAUGUAGAGCUGCCCCAUGUCAACAUCCUCUCCAAGAUGGACCUCAUUGAGCAGUUUGGGAAGCUAGCCUUCAACCUGGACUACUACACUGAAGUCCUAGACCUCUCCUAUCUGCUUGACCACCUGACCUCAGACCCCUUCUUCCGUCAUUAUCGACAGCUCAAUGAGAAGCUGGUGCAGCUGAUUGAAGACUACAGCCUGGUCUCUUUCAUCCCUCUCAAUAUCCAGGACAAGGAAAGUGUCCAACGGGUGCUGCAGGCUGUGGACAAAGCCAACGGCUACUGUUUUGGGGUGGCCGAGCAGCAGAGUCUGGAGGCCAUGAUGUCCGCUGCAGUGGGGGCUGACUUCCAUUUUACCUCCACGCUGGGAAUCCAGGAGAAGUACCUUCCGUCCCCAGAAGAAGAGGCAGUGGAACAGGAAGACAUGCACUCGUAGGGGCGAGAGCAAGAGCGGUGUGCCUAGAUCCAAAAAAUGGCGGCUCAUGGCAGGCAGGCCCUGGAGUAGGGCCAGAAACAAGCCGUCUUCGAUCUUGAGGGAGGGGCUAGUGCAGCCCAGUGAAGGACUCCAGAACCCCAGAAGGGAGGCUCGGAGGAUCUCCGCAGUGGGAGGCCACGUGAUCGAGAUUCACAAUCAGAAGACCUGGCUGGGAAUUCAGACUUUGCCACCCACUCUGUGUCGGCAAGUCACUUCUCAUCUCUAAAAUUAAGCAGUUGGACUGAAUGACCUCUAAGGACCUUUCCAGCUUGAAACCAAUUACCCGAGGGCAGCUCCAGCCCUGAAUGCUUCAAUCAGAGCUGAGAAAGCCUCUCUGGGCUUCCCCCCUUCUUCAGUUCCAGUAUCUAGUAUCUCUCAAAGUCAUUGGGUGGCUCAAUCGUGUCCACCGUGUGGGGAGCAAGAAUGAGGAAAGAGACGCUGUUUGUGGUGCUGGCCAGUAGGGGGCAGCACAUAACCACUUGAUUGACAACAGCCGCUGACUUGGGAUGGCACCCUUGAAUGCUGGGAAAGGUGUGAGGAAGGGGUUGAGUGGAGCAAGAGGAGUCUGAAGAGCUGGAUUCAGGCUCCAGCUCGGCCACUGCCAACUUAGGCGGGUCCCUCCCAUUCUGUGGCCUCUUCACGUGUGAGAUGUGUGAGCUCCUGGAGGGCAGGGAUGUCCUCGGGGCCAGACACAGCACCUGGCACGUAGUAGGUGUUCCAUAAAUGCUCACUGACUGAC
Phascolarctos cinereus (koala) is the source of this 1839-nucleotide RNA transcript. It is a transcript of the gene named GPN-loop GTPase 2, with no coding region annotated. The record is from RefSeq and is a predicted model, not a curated record. Lineage: Eukaryota; Metazoa; Chordata; Mammalia; Diprotodontia; Phascolarctidae.